Molecule: ribosomal RNA, 254 nt
Filed under: uncultured bacterium
Lineage: Bacteria
Description: partial 16S ribosomal RNA
Rfam family: Bacterial small subunit ribosomal RNA
Source: RNAcentral
UACGAAGGGGGCUAGCGUUGCUCGGAAUCACUGGGCGUAAAGCGUAUGCAGGCGGAUCGUUAAGUCGGGGGUGAAAUCCCGAGGCUCAACCUCGGAACUGCCUUCGAUACUGGCGACCUUCGAGUCCGGGAGAGGUGAGUGGAACUCCGAGUGUAGAGGUGAAAUUCGUAGAUAUUAGGAAGAACACCAGUGGCGAAGGCGGCUCACUGGCCCGGUACUGACGCUGAGGCGCGAAAGCGUGGGGAGCAAACAGG